RNAcentral lists this ribosomal RNA (506 nucleotides) under uncultured bacterium. RNAcentral describes it as "partial 16S ribosomal RNA". It matches the Rfam family "Bacterial small subunit ribosomal RNA", at positions 29 to 523 of the family's 1533-position model. The record is from RNAcentral.
AGUGAACGCUGGCGGUAGGCCUAACACAUGCAAGUCGAACGGCAGCACAGGAGAGCUUGCUCUCUGGGUGGCGAGUGGCGGACGGGUGAGGAAUACAUCGGAAUCUACUUUUUCGUGGGGGAUAACGUAGGGAAACUUACGCUAAUACCGCAUACGACCUACGGGUGAAAGCAGGGGACCUUCGGGCCUUGCGCGAUUGAAUGAGCCGAUGUCGGAUUAGCUAGUUGGCGGGGUAAAGGCCCACCAAGGCGACGAUCCGUAGCUGGUCUGAGAGGAUGGUCAGCCACACUGGAACUGAGACACGGUCCAGACUCCUACGGGAGGCAGCAGUGGGGAAUAUUGGACAAUGGGCGCAAGCCUGAUCCAGCCAUACCGCGUGGGUGAAGAAGGCCUUCGGGUUGUAAAGCCCUUUUGUUGGGAAAGAAAUCCAGCUGGCUAAUACCCGGUUAGGAUGACGGUACCCAAAGAAUAAGCACCGGCUAACUUCGUGCCAGCAGCCGCCGUAA